GACGAACGCUGGCGGCGUGCUUAACACAUGCAAGUCGAACGGUGAAGGGACCGGUUUUUGCUGGUUCUGGAUGAGUGGCGAACGGGUGAGUAACACGUGGGUAACCUGCCCCCUUCUUCUGGAUAACCGCAUGAAAGUGUGGCUAAUACGGGAUAUUCUGCGCCUGCUGCAUGGUGGGUGUGGGAAAGAUAUUGUUUCGGUGGGGGAUGGGCUCGCGGCCUAUCAGCUUGUUGGUGGGGUGAUGGCCUACCAAGGCGGUGACGGGUAGCCGGCCUGAGAGGGUGGACGGUCACACUGGGACUGAGACACGGCCCAGACUCCUACGGGAGGCAGCAGUGGGGAAUAUUGCACAAUGGGCGCAAGCCUGAUGCAGCGACGCCGCGUGAGGGAUGGAGGCCUUCGGGUUGUAAACCUCUUUCGCCAGUGAAGCAGGCCUGUCCCUUUUGUGGGUGGGUUGACGGUAGCUGGAUAAGAAGCGCCGGCUAACUACGUG
Molecule: ribosomal RNA, 493 nt
Filed under: uncultured bacterium
Lineage: Bacteria
Description: partial 16S ribosomal RNA
Rfam family: Bacterial small subunit ribosomal RNA
Source: RNAcentral